GACGAACGCUGGCGGCGUGCCUAAUACAUGCAAGUAGAACGCUGAAGAGAGGAGCUUGCUCUUCUUGGAUGAGUUGCGAACGGGUGAGUAACGCGUAGGUAACCUGCCUUGUAGCGGGGGAUAACUAUUGGAAACGAUAGCUAAUACCGCAUAACAAUGGAUGACACAUGUCAUUUAUUUGAAAGGGGCAAUUGCUCCACUACAAGAUGGACCUGCGUUGUAUUAGCUAGUAGGUGAGGUAAUGGCUCACCUAGGCGACGAUACAUAGCCGACCUGAGAGGGUGAUCGGCCACACUGGGACUGAGACACGGCCCAGACUCCUACGGGAGGCAGCAGUAGGGAAUCUUCGGCAAUGGGGGCAACCCUGACCGAGCAACGCCGCGUGAGUGAAGAAGGUUUUCGGAUCGUAAAGCUCUGUUGUAAGUCAAGAACGGGUGUGAGAGUGGAAAGUUCACACUGUGACGGUAGCUUACCAGAAAGGGACGGCUAACUACGUGCCAGCAGCCGCGGUAAUACGUAGGUCCCGAGCGUUGUCCGGAUUUAUUGGGCGUAAAGUGAGCGCAGGCGGUUUGAUAAGUCUGAAGUUAAAGGCUGUGGCUCAACCAUAGUUCGCUUUGGAAACUGUCAAACUUGAGUGCAGAAGGGGAGAGUGGAAUUCCAUGUGUAGCGGUGAAAUGCGUAGAUAUAUGGAGGAACACCGGUGGCGAAAGCGGCUCUCUGGUCUGUAACUGACGCUGAGGCUCGAAAGCGUGGGGAGCGAACAGGAUUAGAUACCCUGGUAGUCCACGCCGUAAACGAUGAGUGCUAGGUGUUGGAUCCUUUCCGGGAUUCAGUGCCGCAGCUAACGCAUUAAGCACUCCGCCUGGGGAGUACGACCGCAGGGUUGAAACUCAAAGGAAUUGACGGGGGCCCGCACAAGCGGUGGAGCAUGUGGUUUAAUUCGAAGCAACGCGAAGAACCUUACCAGGUCUUGACAUCCCGAUGCUAUUUCUAGAGAUAGAAAGUUACUUCGGUACAUCGGUGACAGGUGGUGCAUGGUUGUCGUCAGCUCGUGUCGUGAGAUGUUGGGUUAAGUCCCGCAACGAGCGCAACCCUUAUUGUUAGUUGCCAUCAUUCAGUUGGGCACUCUAGCGAGACUGCCGGUAAUAAACCGGAGGAAGGUGGGGAUGACGUCAAAUCAUCAUGCCCCUUAUGACCUGGGCUACACACGUGCUACAAUGGUUGGUACAACGAGUUGCGAGUCGGUGACGGCGAGCUAAUCUCUUAAAGCCAAUCUCAGUUCGGAUUGUAGGCUGCAACUCGCCUACAUGAAGUCGGAAUCGCUAGUAAUCGCGGAUCAGCACGCCGCGGUGAAUACGUUCCCGGGCCGUGUACACACCGCCCGUCACACCACGAGAGUUUGUAACACCCGAAGUCGGUGAGGUAACCUUUUGGAGCCAGCCGCCUAAGGUGGGACAGAUGAUUGGGGUGAAGUCGUAACAAGGUAGCCGUAUCGGAAGG
RNAcentral lists this ribosomal RNA (1500 nucleotides) under uncultured bacterium. RNAcentral's name for it is "bacterial SSU rRNA". It matches the Rfam family "Bacterial small subunit ribosomal RNA". The record is from RNAcentral.